AUUCAUAGAUUGAUAAAAAUGGUUCUCUCUUCCACUUUAGCCGGAGAUCUUCCUUACACAAUUUUGAGAUUAGGUCUCUGAGGUUAGCUUCCGCAAUUCGUCGCCAUCGCCGCUAGCUCUACCCAUUGCGAAUCAGUGUCCCAGAUAAUGAGAAGGAUGAAUGGGUGACACUUCUUCUUGAUGGCUCUCUCUAAGAUCAUGUUUAGUCCACUUUGCUCUACUACAAUUUGCAGGACAAUUUAUAUUGCCUUUGACAUUCAGUAGUAUACAAAUUAUAAUCUUUUGGAUAUGAUGUAAUGUUUUAUGCUCAUAAUUUUGCAAACUAGAUUGUCUUUGAGCAUAGAUAUGAGUAAUUGGACAUGAAUACUUAUAUUAUUUCUAGUGAUAUUUCAUGUGUAUGGACAAAGUUUGAUCUCAGUAAUCAAAAACUCUUUUGAUUAUUAGAAUAUAAAUAUGUUAUAAUGUUUA
Humulus lupulus (European hop) is the source of this 468-nucleotide long non-coding RNA. RefSeq lists it as uncharacterized. Lineage: Eukaryota; Viridiplantae; Streptophyta; Magnoliopsida; Rosales; Cannabaceae. The record is from RefSeq and is a predicted model, not a curated record. The transcript is spliced from 2 exons.